AGCGGCGGACGGGUGAGUGACGCGUGGGUAACCUGCCCUAUACACACGGAUAACAUACCGAAAGGUAUGCUAAUACGAGAUAAUAUGCUUUUAUCGCAUGGUAGAAGUAUCAAAGCUUUUGCGGUACAGGAUGGACCCGCGUCUGAUUAGCUAGUUGGUAAGGUAACGGCUUACCAAGGCGACGAUCAGUAGCCGACCUGAGAGGGUGAUCGGCCACAUUGGAACUGAGACACGGUCCAAACUCCUACGGGAGGCAGCAGUGGGGAAUAUUGCACAAUGGGCGAAAGUCUGAUGCAGCAACGCCGCGUGAGCGAUGAAGGCCUUCGGGUCGUAAAGUUCUGUCCUCAAGGAAGAUAAUGACGGUACUUGAGGAGGAAGCCCCGGCUAACUACGUGCCAGCAGCCGCGGUAAUACGUAGGGGGCUAGCGUUAUCCGGAUUUACUGGGCGCAAAGGGUGCGUAGGUGGUUUCUUAAGUCAGAGGUGAAAGGCUACGGCUCAACCGUAGUAAGCCUUUGAAACUGGGAAACUUGAGUGCAGGAGAGGAGAGUGGAAUUCCUAGUGUAGCGGUGAAAUGCGUAGAUAUUAGGAGGAACACCAGUUGCGAAGGCGGCUCUCUGGACUGUAACUGACACUGAGGCACGAAAGCGUGGGGAGCAAACAGGAUUAGAUACCCUGGUAGUCCACGCCGUAAACGAUGAGUACUAGCUGU
Molecule: ribosomal RNA, 710 nt
Filed under: uncultured bacterium
Lineage: Bacteria
Description: bacterial SSU rRNA
Rfam family: Bacterial small subunit ribosomal RNA
Source: RNAcentral